Molecule: ribosomal RNA, 460 nt
Filed under: uncultured bacterium
Lineage: Bacteria
Description: partial 16S ribosomal RNA
Rfam family: Bacterial small subunit ribosomal RNA
Source: RNAcentral
CCUACGGGGUGCAGCAGUGAGGAAUAUUGGUCAAUGGACGAGAGUCUGAACCAGCCAAGUAGCGUGAAGGAUGACUGCCCUAUGGGUUGUAAACUUCUUUUAUAUGGGAAUAAAACGUUCCACGUGUGGGAUUUUGUAUGUACCAUAUGAAUAAGGAUCGGCUAACUCCGUGCCAGCAGCCGCGGUAAUACGGAGGAUCCGAGCGUUAUCCGGAUUUAUUGGGUUUAAAGGGAGCGUAGGUGGAUUGUUAAGUCAGUUGUGAAAGUUUGUGGCUCAACCGUAAAAUUGCAGUUGAAACUGGCAGUCUUGAGUACAGUAGAGGUGGGCGGAAUUCGUGGUGUAGCGGUGAAAUGCUUAGAUAUCACGAAGAACUCCGAUUGCGAAGGCAGUUCACUGGACUGCAACUGACACUGAGGCUCGAAAGUGUGGGUAUCAAACAGGAUUAGAUACCCUGGUAGUC